RNAcentral lists this ribosomal RNA (460 nucleotides) under uncultured bacterium. RNAcentral describes it as "partial 16S ribosomal RNA". It matches the Rfam family "Bacterial small subunit ribosomal RNA", at positions 338 to 795 of the family's 1533-position model. The record is from RNAcentral.
CCUACGGGAGGCAGCAGUGAGGAAUAUUGGUCAAUGGACGCGAGUCUGAACCAGCCAAGUAGCGUGAAGGAUGACUGCCCUACGGGUUGUAAACUUCUUUUAUAAAGGAAUAAAAUGAGGCACGUGUGCCUUUUUGCAUGUACUUUAUGAAUAAGGAUCGGCUAACUCCGUGCCAGCAGCCGCGGUAAUACGGAGGAUCCGAGCGUUAUCCGGAUUUAUUGGGUUUAAAGGGAGCGUAGAUGGGUUGUUAAGUCAGUUGUGAAAGUUUGCGGCUCAACCGUAAAAUUGCAAUUGAUACUGGCAGUCUUGAGUACAGUUGAGGUAAGCGGAAUUCGUGGUGUAGCGGUGAAAUGCUUAGAUAUCACGAAGAACCCCGAUUGCGAAGGCAGCCUACUAAACUGUCACUGACAUUGAUGCUCGAAAGUGUGGGUAUCAAACAGGAUUAGAUACCCUUGUAGUC